UAAACAUUUUUGAGUACUUGCAAAUUGGUUUAAAAAGAGUUUUGGUUUUAUGCCAGUUUUAGACAGGUUGCAGGUUUUAUACCAGUUCUAAAAAGAUUGCAGGUUUUAUAAAACAAACAUUUCUCUAAUCAUUUCUGCCGUAGCACUAAAUCUUUAUAUUACUAAUCCUCUCUAUUGAUUAUAGUUAAAAUGGUUUGGAACAAUAAAUAAUUUUGAAAUAA
Molecule: long non-coding RNA, 221 nt
Organism: Oreochromis niloticus (Nile tilapia)
Lineage: Eukaryota; Metazoa; Chordata; Actinopteri; Cichliformes; Cichlidae
Exons: 2
Source: RefSeq, a predicted model, not a curated record